This 570-nucleotide unclassified non-coding RNA is filed under the name Hevea brasiliensis (rubber tree). Lineage: Eukaryota; Viridiplantae; Streptophyta; Magnoliopsida; Malpighiales; Euphorbiaceae. The record is from RNAcentral.
UUUUAGUUUAGCUUAUUGAAUUCAGGAGUAGGACUCAUAAAGAUAAUUGCCAAAAACUUAACUACAGCACAUUUUGAACAGAAGGUUGGAGAUGUGGUUUAAAUUUUUUUUUCAAGAAAAAGGGUUAAAGUAAUUUAAAGUUUAUCCCUUUUUUGCAGUAACUUAGUAGUAGAGAUAGUACCGUACUAUGUCAGUACUUCAAAAAAGUUAAGCUUUAACCAUGUUAAUGGCCCAAAACUUUGAUAGAAAAUUGAGGUAUAUUUACCCAUGAAUCAUGAACUGGGCAUCUAUUUGGCAUUGAUUUUGUUGGGAUCUAGAAAUAUUUUUGCAUGUGAACAUACAGGAAAACCAUUUUUUGUUUUGCCUUAAAUUUUUCUUAUAUGUACACACACUAACACGUCUAAUAGAAUUUGUACCUAUUCAAAAGGUUGAGAAGACGUUUGUCCUAUCCAUCAGACGAUAGAAAGUUUCUAUUCCAUCUUUUGUUUUUCCUUUUCUAUAUUUCUUUUGCUUUGAUAAUGAGGAACUUCGAAGGAUAUUAUGAAUGUUGAUUGUGACCAAACAUUUGUA